GCGGGGCUGGGGACAUCG
Molecule: microRNA, 18 nt
Filed under: Mus musculus (house mouse)
Lineage: Eukaryota; Metazoa; Chordata; Mammalia; Rodentia; Muridae
Description: mmu-miR-12197-3p
Source: miRBase by way of RNAcentral